UACGUAGGUGGCAAGCGUUGUCCGGAAUUAUUGGGCGUAAAGCGCGCGCAGGCGGCUAUCCAAGUCAGUGGUGAAAGCCCGGAGCUCAACUCCGGAACUGCCAUUGAAACUGUUUAGCUUGAGGACGAGAGAGGUGAGUGGAAUUCCCAGUGUAGAGGUGAAAUUCGUAGAUAUUGGGAAGAACACCGGUGGCGAAGGCGGCCGGCUGGGGGCGCCCUGACGCUGAGGCGCGAGAGCGUGGGGAGCAAACCGG
RNAcentral lists this ribosomal RNA (253 nucleotides) under uncultured bacterium. RNAcentral's name for it is "partial 16S ribosomal RNA". It matches the Rfam family "Bacterial small subunit ribosomal RNA", at positions 524 to 776 of the family's 1533-position model. The record is from RNAcentral.